UGUCACAACGCCGCCAAUGUGUUGUCCUGAAUGGUACUAAGUCGGAAUUUCUAGAGGUCACUUCGGGCGUCCCCCAGGGAUCUGUAUUGGGGCCUCUGCUAUUCAUAAUUUUUAUAAAUGACAUUAACAAAGAUAUAAGCUCAAGUAUACGGCUCUUUGCUGAUGAUUGCGUAGUCUACAGAAAAAUUCAGAAAGAACAUGAUGUCCUUGAAUUGCAGUCUGAUCUUGCACGUAUUCAUCAAUGGUGCCUUAAGUGGCAAAUGAAGUUAAACACAAAUAAGUGCGUUCAUGUGUGUUUUACAAAGAAGAAAAAAAUAUUUGAUGCAAAUUUUUGUCUAGGAGGAAAUAAAUUAGAUAAAAA
Molecule: long non-coding RNA, 361 nt
Organism: Rhipicephalus microplus (southern cattle tick)
Lineage: Eukaryota; Metazoa; Arthropoda; Arachnida; Ixodida; Ixodidae
Source: RefSeq, a predicted model, not a curated record